AUGACUUCUGUCGCCGACGGUGUUUCAGGUGAUCAUAGAGCUGAUGAGCAACAGCAGAAGCAAGCUGCUCAAGGGAACCAGGAAGAGGCCCCAGCUACUAGUAUAGGUAGUCAGGCAAUGGUGGCAACACCUGCCACAGAUUAUGUCACACCCUAUGGCCACCAGGAAGCUUGCCAUGCAAUGCAGGGUCAAAUUGUCGAUCCAUUCUAUGGAAGCCUUUAUGCGGCCUACGGUGGACAACCUAUGAUGCAUCCACCAAUGGUCGGAAUGCAUGCAGCCGCAAUACCGUUGCCUACUGAUGCAAUUGAAGAGCCUGUGUAUGUGAAUGCAAAGCAAUAUAAUGCCAUAUUAAGGCGGCGCCAAUCUCGGGCUAAAGCAGAGUCAGAAAGGAAGCUUAUCAAGGGCCGCAAGCCAUAUCUCCAUGAGUCAAGGCAUCAACAUGCCUUGAAAAGGGCCAGGGGAGCCGGAGGCCGGUUUCUUAACGCAAAGUCAGAUGACAAUGAAGAGCAUUCUGAUUCCAGCUCCAAAGACAAGCAGAAUGGCGCUGCACCCCGCAGCAGUGGCCAAUCCUCCCAAUCUCCCAAAGGCGCAACUUCGGCCGAUAAGUCGGGGAACCAUGAAUGA
RNAcentral lists this ribosomal RNA (624 nucleotides) under Triticum aestivum (bread wheat). RNAcentral's name for it is "partial small subunit ribosomal RNA". Lineage: Eukaryota; Viridiplantae; Streptophyta; Magnoliopsida; Poales; Poaceae. The record is from RNAcentral.